AUUGAACGCUGGCGGCAGGCCUAACACAUGCAAGUCGAGCGGAGCGGCGGACGGGUGAGUAAUGCCUAGGAAUCUGCCUGGUAGUGGGGGAUAAAGUACGGAAACGGGCGCUAAUACCGCAUACUAUCAGAUGAGCCUAGGUCGGAUUAGCUAGUUGGUGGGGUAAAGGCCUACCAAGGCGACGAUCCGUAAAUGGUCUGAGAGGAUGAUCAGUCACACUGUAACUGAGACACGGUCCAGACUCCUACGGGAGGUAGCAGUGGGUAAGAUUGGACAAUGGGCGAAAGCCUGAUCCAGCCAUGCCGCGUGUGUGAAGAAGGCCUUCGGGUUGUAAAGCACUUUCAGCGUGGAGGCGUUACCCGCAGAAGAAGCACCGGCUAACUCCGUGCCAGCAGCCGCGGUAAUUC
Molecule: ribosomal RNA, 407 nt
Filed under: uncultured bacterium
Lineage: Bacteria
Description: partial 16S ribosomal RNA
Rfam family: Bacterial small subunit ribosomal RNA
Source: RNAcentral